CCCCUAGAUGUUCUGGGCCGCACGCGCGCUACACUGAACAGUUCAACAAGUCUUAACCUUGGCCGAUAGGUCUGGGUAAUCUUUGAACGCUGUUCGUGAUUGGGAUAGACCUUUGCAAUUAUGGGUCUUCAACGAGGAAUUCCUAGUAAACGCAAGUCAUCAGCUUGCAUUGAUUACGUCCCUGCCCUUUGUACACACCGCCCGUCGCACCUACCGAUUGAAUGGUCCGGUGAAAUCUCGGGACAGCGGCUCGGUCGCUUGCGUCCGACUGCUGAAACUUGAUUAAACCAUAUCAUUUAGAGGAAGGUGAAGUCGUAACA
RNAcentral lists this ribosomal RNA (320 nucleotides) under uncultured eukaryote. RNAcentral's name for it is "partial 18S ribosomal RNA". It matches the Rfam family "Eukaryotic small subunit ribosomal RNA", at positions 1470 to 1796 of the family's 1831-position model. The record is from RNAcentral.